CAGCACUCUCACAGAGCACUCUCACACCCAUCACACUCACAGCACUUUCACACACACAGCACUCUCUCACAGAGCACUCUCACACACACACAGCACUCUCUCACACAGCACUCUCACACCCAUCACACACAGCACUCUCUCACAGCACUCUCUCACAGCACUCUCUCACAGCACUCUCACACACACACAGCAUUCUCUCAC
This is a non-coding RNA of Pelobates cultripes (western spadefoot toad), 201 nucleotides long. NCBI's taxonomy places the organism in Eukaryota, Metazoa, Chordata, Amphibia, Anura, Pelobatidae. The record is from the annotation of a GenBank genome assembly.